UGCCUAAUACAUGCAAGUCGAGCGAAUGACGAGGAGCUUGCUCCUCUGAUUUAGCGGCGGACGGGUGAGUAACACGUGGGCAACCUGCCCUGCAGACUGGGAUAACUUCGGGAAACCGGAGCUAAUACCGGAUAAUCCAUUUUACUUCAUGGUGAAAUGUUGAAAGGCGCUUUCGCGCCACUGCAGGAUGGGCCCGCGGUGCAUUAGCUAGUUGGUGGGGUAACGGCCUACCAAGGCGACGAUGCAUAGCCGACCUGAGAGGGUGAUCGGCCACAUUGGGACUGAGACACGGCCCAAACUCCUACGGGAGGCAGCAGUAGGGAAUCUUCCACAAUGGACGAAAGUCUGAUGGAGCAACGCCGCGUGAGUGAUGAAGGUUUUCGGAUCGUAAAACUCUGUUGUAAGGGAAGAACAAGUACGUUAGGAAAUGAACGUACCUUGACGGUACCUUAUUAGAAAGCCACGGCUAACUACGUGCCAGCAGCCGCGGUAAUACGUAGGUGGCAAGCGUUGUCCGGAUUUAUUGGGCGUAAAGCGCGCGCAGGUGGUUUCUUAAGUCUGAUGUGAAAUCUCGCGGCUCAACCGCGAGCGGUCAUUGGAAACUGGGGAACUUGAGUGCAGAAGAGGAUAGUGGAAUUCCAAGUGUAGCGGUGAAAUGCGUAGAGAUUUGGAGGAACACCAGUGGCGAAGGCGACUGUCUGGUCUGUAACUGACACUGAGGCGCGAAAGCGUGGGGAGCAAACAGGAUUAGAUACCCUGGUAGUCCACGCCGU
Molecule: ribosomal RNA, 773 nt
Rfam family: Bacterial small subunit ribosomal RNA